CGUAGGGUGCGAGCGUUGUCCGGAAUUACUGGGCGUAAAGAGCUCGUAGGCGGUUUGUCGCGUCGUUCGUGAAACUUGGGGCUUAACUUCAAGCGUGCGGGCGAUACGGGCAGACUUGAGUACUACAGGGGAGACUGGAAUUCCUGGUGUAGCGGUGAAAUGCGCAGAUAUCAGGAGGAACACCGGUGGCGAAGGCGGGUCUCUGGGUAGUAACUGACGCUGAGGAGCGAAAGCGUGGGUAGCGAACAGGAUU
RNAcentral lists this ribosomal RNA (253 nucleotides) under uncultured bacterium. Its description in RNAcentral is "partial 16S ribosomal RNA". It matches the Rfam family "Bacterial small subunit ribosomal RNA", at positions 526 to 779 of the family's 1533-position model. The record is from RNAcentral.